CUUGACCGAGCCCAGGUAGAGGGGCUCGCCGCGGUCCUGCCCGUACGUGGCGAGCAGCGCCUGCGCCUC
This 69-nucleotide antisense RNA is filed under the name Couchioplanes caeruleus subsp. caeruleus. Its description in RNAcentral is "ASpks TB sRNA". It matches the Rfam family "ASpks TB sRNA". The record is from Rfam by way of RNAcentral. Lineage: Bacteria; Bacillati; Actinomycetota; Actinomycetes; Micromonosporales; Micromonosporaceae.